Molecule: ribosomal RNA, 119 nt
Filed under: Hordeum vulgare subsp. vulgare (domesticated barley)
Lineage: Eukaryota; Viridiplantae; Streptophyta; Magnoliopsida; Poales; Poaceae
Also listed under: 1 other name
Source: RNAcentral
GGAUGUGAUCAUACUAGCACUAAAGCACCGGAUCCCAUCAGAACUCCGAAGUUAAGCGUGCUUGGGCGAGAGUAGUACUAGGAUGGGUGACCUCCUGGGAAGUCCUCGUGUUGCAUUCC